RNAcentral lists this ribosomal RNA (253 nucleotides) under uncultured bacterium. RNAcentral's name for it is "partial 16S ribosomal RNA". It matches the Rfam family "Bacterial small subunit ribosomal RNA", at positions 524 to 776 of the family's 1533-position model. The record is from RNAcentral.
UACGGGGGGGGCAAGCGUUGUUCGGAAUUACUGGGCGUAAAGGGCUCGUAGGCGGCCAACUAAGUCAGACGUGAAAUCCCUCGGCUUAACCGGGGAACUGCGUCUGAUACUGGAUGGCUUGAGUUUGGGAGAGGGAUGCGGAAUUCCAGGUGUAGCGGUGAAAUGCGUAGAUAUCGUGAGGAACACCAGAGGCGAAGGCGGCUACCUGGACAAUUGCUGACGCUCAGGCACGAAAGCGUGGGGAGCAAAAGGG